This 1229-nucleotide long non-coding RNA is filed under the name Arabidopsis thaliana (thale cress). RNAcentral describes it as "long non-coding RNA (ATHA_LNC000218)". Lineage: Eukaryota; Viridiplantae; Streptophyta; Magnoliopsida; Brassicales; Brassicaceae. The record is from RNAcentral.
UCGAUAGUUUUUAGUUGGUUUCUAAGAGAAUAGUGGGCCUAAAUUAAAUAAAAAUUCAACAAUAAUUGUAGGAACGUUCCUAAAAUUAGGUUUUUGGAAACUCAUUAGAAACGCAUACGUGGCUAAUUGUGAUAGAUUGUUUGGUUUAAACAAAAGGAAAAUUUUCUUGCUUUCUCUUUUGUUUGGUUUCUCCGUCGACGAUACCAAAGGCGAUUCAACUUGAUUUGUUUGAUCCAGCGUUUUGAUCAUGAAAUCGGGAGAGCAACCACAUAUACUCAAUAUACAACCGCCAGAAUGAUGAUCGACGAUGAGAUUGUUCACCAAAUCAACUUCAAACCGGAUCUUGUGGUUAUAUUGUUGAAUUCUUUGUAACACCAGGAGCUUCUAUCAUGUGACUAUCUCAUGAGUUCUUACCAAGAGGUAGAAUCCAGCUCUGUCUCAAGUAUAUCUCUUUUAAUGCACUUGGAGUUUUCUGAAAUUUUUGCUCAAAAAACAUGGUUGUGGCAAAACAGAGCCUUUAUCUGACAUAGAGAUGGCGCUUAAGAACAAGCUAAUAAAUGAUAUGUUGUCUUAAGUUUUAGUUUCUAUCUGAAUGUUGCAUGUUUGGUCAGAAUGUACUUCACCUUCUAGUAUUUCGGCUUUAAGUUUUAGCUUCUAGUAUUUCGGCUUUUAGUAUAUGUGUAAUAACUUUGAGACUGAAUGUUUGGUCUGAAUGUUUGUGUUUGGUCUGAAUGUUUAGUCUGAAUGUUUUCUGUUUAUGGAUUAAUGAGAUGAGUAUUUGUGUUUGGUGAGUAUUUGUGUUUGGUGAAUGUUUGGUCUCAAUGUUUUCAGUUUAUGGAUUAAUGAGAUGAGUAUUUGUGUUUGGUCUGAAUGUUUGUAGUUUACGGUUUUGUUUCAUCUGUUAAUGUCAUGAUUUGCUUCAUUUUGCAGGACUGGGAAGAAUAGAAAUUGUGCCAACAUCAAUUGUGGAAGAUACCAGAUUCUUUAAAUGUAUGUACUGUUGUGAGUUUUAUCGAUUAAUGAGUUUGGUCUGAACUUAACCAUAUCCAUUAAUGAAUGAAUGUAUGUGUUUGGUCUGAACUUAACCAUAUUGAUUAAUAGAUGAAUGUGUGUGUUUGGUCUGAACUCAACCAUAUCGAUUAAUAGAUGAAUGUGAGUGUUUGGUCCGAACUUAACAAUUUUGGUUACAAUCGAGUAAUGAGUUUUAUUUCAUGAGUUUCAUCUAUUAA